UUCAGACAGCACCUGUAGAACUCCUCUGUUUUUCCCCUGGGACACUUAUCACCCUUCCUUAAAUGCACUUUACUUGCUCUUAUCUGCCCCCUAUUUUACUGCAUUUAAUCCUGUACUUCAGAGUACUGUAAUCUGCCAAGUGUUUAAUCUGUAGUAUUUUGUAUUUAAUCAUAUCCUGAUGUAACUAUCACUGACACUUAUCUGCUGUAUUAUUUAAUUGUAUUUUGUCACUGUCACAAAGACGGCCAGAGUGGGUGGCGUCAGACCAGAAAAGGAAUACACAGACAGAGACAGUGGUGAUGAUGAGCUGAGUGCAAUGGCUGCACUCAGCGUUUAUUAACAAAUAAAAAGGUUUUAAACGGUACACAAAACAGGACACGGCACUGGUAGCCAAAAUAAACAGACAUACAAAACGACUAACACUAAACAAACGGUGCACGGACAGACAGACAGACAGACACGAUCUCCCUCCCGACCGGUGAGGGCGCUAGGGAGGAGGAGCAGACAUCCCCAGGAAAGGUGGAAGUCGGCCACCUGGAAAGGGGGCGGAACCACGGUACGCAAUGUCAUCGACCCCGACGGGAAGCGCUGUGGCAAUCAGGUAUUGACUGACGGCGGUUGCCCUCGCAGACCAAUGGGGACGGGAUGGAGCAUACAAAAGGGGGCGUGGCCCAGGGUUCUGUUCCUUCUGGCAAGGUACUGUGUGUGAGAGAGAGAGAGAGAGCAUUUGACUGCAAGAGAUACGAGCAGGGAAAUAGAGAGAGGAAACGGAAUUCGAGGAGUUCUUUUAGUGUGUGUGUGGAUAUACCUGCUAACCCCUGCACCUUUUGUCUGUCCAUAGAGCACUGACGGGACGCUCCGGGAAUACGUCGGAGGAGCGCGGACCCGGAAGUGCCGGACUGUUUACUGUGGUUCACCUCGUUUGGAUUGAGGAAGGACAGACUGUGAUUUUGCUGAGUCUACUUGGCUCGAUUUUAUUAUGCCGGACUCUACACCAAGGUGGCGAAAUAUGUAGCUACCUGCCCGGAAUGCCAGAGAGUAGCACCGGGUCGAGUGCGCCCCGCCCCUUUGGUCCCACUGCCUAUUGUCUCCACUGCCUUCGAACGCGUUGCAAUGGACAUAGUUGCCUUCUGAUUCCGGGUACACGCACAUAUUAGUGAUGGUGGAUUAUGCGACGCAAUACCCGGAAGCAGUUCCUUUGCGGUCCACUAGUGCCACUGCAACUGCGAAAGAAUUGAGUCAGAUUAUGGCUAGAGUAGGGAUCCCUAAAGAAAUAUUAACUGAUCACGGAACAAACUUUUUGUCCAAAACGCUACAGCAGGUGUAUAAGAUUCUAAAAAUACGUCCUAUCAGGACGUCCGUUUAUCAUCCCCAAACGGAUGGUCUGGUAGAAAGUUUUAUUGUUAUUAACAUCCGGGAUAUUGACAGGGGCUGGAGCAGUCUCUACCCUCAAGGGUCCAGUAACCUUGCCCACCCGGUCACACUGGGUGCCCACCCCCUUCGAUUGGCGUUUGGGACCAUCAAACCCUUCCCCCGCCAGACCCCAACCGUGUCGGAUCGAUGCGCCUUCCCACUUUUCCUUCCGUCUCUCCUUGUGCGUUUUCCUAGGAUGAAAAAGUGGAGAAAACAGUUCUGCAUGGAAAGGGAACAUGGUGCCAAUUACUUCCUUUUCCCAGGGGUCUGCCGUGCCUACAUGUGUGGUCGAGGCUGCCGAUAUUUUUACUAAAUCCUUAUAUCGCGGCCAGUCUCGACCCAGAAUGAUUGGGUGUGGUAACUUUUCGGCCACCCCCACUACUAGGUGGCGCUUUAUCGGUCCUAACGACAGAUAUACUUUUAAGGUGGGGUAUGUCGCCGUAUCUCCAUGGAUACAGGAGAUCGCCACCUGACCUCGUGGCUGCCACGACAUACCGCCAAGGAGAGCUGUCCGAAUCAAAGUCUGCUCACACCCGGUGUCCACUAACGCGUGGGUUUUCACCUUCCCCAGCACAACAUCAACAACACACGGGCCCUCCCGACCAUUUCCCCAUUCCUUACCCGUCUCCGAUGCCAGAUGACACGCAGCCACGUCGUACUCCAUGGCUACCGGGCAGUACCUGGUGAUGUGUCCUGGCUGCUGGCACCUAAAACAGACUGGUGGGGCAGAGGGCAAGGGCAGUACAUAUUUGUCCUGCUGCUGGUAUGACAGCGGGGCAGGGGAAACCAUUCUACCCCAGCUGGGAGCAAACCUCUGCCUCCAUGGUAAGGAGCUUGCAUGGCCCGACGGGGCCGGUGGUCUGGCAGGUCUUGGUCCGGGGGGGUUUGGUGGUGGUCCCUUAGUAACGGAGGGGGAGGGGCAGUUCAGCAAGGUGGUCUGGACGGACAUGAGGGAGUCCUCAAAGUUUUCGGCCAAUGCUACGUCCUGGUCCAGGGUGGUGGGGUUGUGCCGGCGUAUCCAGGCCUGCGUUUUGACCCCGACCACAUGGCAGAACUGUUCCAUUACUAUGGCUUCCCCCAUCUGGACCCCAGUUUUCUGGCUGGGGUUUAGCCAUUGCGCCUUGUGGUCGCAUAGCCGCUGAGCCACCACCUUGGGUCAUGUGCUCGAUGGCCGCCGGAACUCCCUGAAUCUGACCCGGUGGGUCUCCCUCAUGAUGUUCAGACGGCGGAGGAUAGCCUGCUCCACCAGGUCGUACUGGGCCGCGUCUUCAUCGGUCAUAGCCCAAUACGCGGCUUGCGCCUCCCCAAUCAAGCAAGGGCCAAGUUGGCUCGCCUAGUACUCCAGGGGCCAGGCUGCGGUGGUGGCCAGCCGCUCGAAUGCCACGAGGUAGGCUUCAGGGUCAUCCUCCGCCGUCAUUAUCUGGGCCCGGGCCUUCAGGGCAACCAUCACGGGGCCCGUUGUUGCUGCUGACGUCAUCCCCAUCCCGACCCUCUCAAUGAGGGCCGUGUAUCGCUCCUCCCUCCUCCGUUCCUCGACCUCCCUUCGGCUGUCCAAAGCCUCAUUGAAGCAAAUGUUGAGAAGGUUUGUGAGUCAGAAGCAAAAACAUUGGGCUACUCUUCUUCCUUACCUACUCUUCGCAGUGAGAGAGGUGCCUCAGAACUCAACGGGAUUUUCCCCCUUUGAGCUGUUAUAUGGCCGGCAGUCUCGGGGCAUCCUCGAUCUGUUGAGAGAAGGGUGGGAAGAACACAAAAGCUCCUCUAAAAAUGUAGUGCAGCAUGUGCUCCUACUGCGAGAUCGCCUUGAUUUAAUUGGUCGGCUGGCUCAAGACAAUCUUAGAUCGGCUCAACAUCGGCAACAGCAGCAUUACAAUACUAAUGCACGAAUUCAAACUUUUCGGCCAGGAGAUAAGGUAAUGCUGCUUCUUCCGUCAUUGGAGUCAAAACCGUGUGCUAAAUGGCAGGGGCCAUAUGAGGUGAUACGGGCAGUAGGACCAGUGAAUUAUGAAAUUAAACAGCCCGAUCGCCGUGCCCGGCAGGACUAACCUUACCAAAUAUGCUGUUAUUAUUCCACCAGGGGUCACUGUUCGGGAGAGGCCCUACCGGAUCCCAGAAAGCCGGCGGAGUGGUGUCCAGAACAAGAGCACUGACGGGACGCUCCGGGAAUACGUCGGAGGAGCGCGGACCCGGAAGUGCCGGACUGUUUACUGUGGUUCACCUCGUUUGGAUUGAGGAAGGACAGACUGUGUUUUUGCUGAGUUUACUUGUUUUGGUUUUUCGUUUCAUUUGGGACUGCAACCCUUUUUCCCUUUGUUUGGUCGGGUUACACAUUGUUGUGUAUCCCGGCGCUAUUAUUAUUAUCAUUAUUAUUAUUAUUAUUAUUAUUAUUAUUAUUAUUAUUAUUAUUAUUGUUUGAUCGGGUUACACAUUGCUGUGUAUCCCGGUAUUAUUAUUGUUGGGUUUUUUGUGUGACGAAUUAAAGCCGGGAGCUUAUACCAACAAACCUGGUCUGGUCUGACGAUCAUUUACACCACACGCUCAGCCAACCUGUCACACCCAGGUAUUGGGUAACAGAUUUCCUGAGAAUAAGCAUGGAAAUGUAUACUUGUCUCUAAUGUAGUUCCAGAUAUCAUGUUUUAAAAUUAAAAUACAGUAGAACCUGUCAAAUCCGAUCCUGUAAGAUACGAUAUUCUCUAUUAACCAAUGGACCUCUGACAUGUAUCAUUUACACAUACUGCUACCUACUGAAUGGCAGAGACGGAUCAAUGCACAUUUAUUAUGAGCCUCAAACAGUCAAUUUAGCUCUUAGCAGGACAGAAUGGAUUCAGCUGAAGAUAAAAAGAAAAGAAAAUAUUUGCAUUUGGGAAUUCAGUUUCCCUUUUCUGUCACUUCUUCAAGUAACUGCCCAGUUUAACCAUGUUAAAGAAAAGACAAAACAAGAAAGCAAGGGGUUAAUAUAAUUACUGUUUGUGUUUGUGUGCGUGCUUUCUUCUUGUUGUUCC
Long non-coding RNA from Acipenser ruthenus (sterlet), 4412 nucleotides. RefSeq lists it as uncharacterized. Lineage: Eukaryota; Metazoa; Chordata; Actinopteri; Acipenseriformes; Acipenseridae. The record is from RefSeq and is a predicted model, not a curated record. The transcript has 3 exons.